This 487-nucleotide ribosomal RNA is filed under the name Leucon spinulosus. RNAcentral describes it as "partial 16S ribosomal RNA". It matches the Rfam family "Bacterial large subunit ribosomal RNA", at positions 1827 to 2608 of the family's 2925-position model. The record is from RNAcentral. Lineage: Eukaryota; Metazoa; Arthropoda; Malacostraca; Cumacea; Leuconidae.
CAUCUCCCUAAGAGACCAUGUAGGGCAUACCCUGCUCACUGCACGAAAGAGCUGCAGUAAUUGAACUGUACUAAGGUAGCACAAUAAUUAGCCCUUUAAUUGACGGCCGGUAUAAAAGGGCCAACGAAAGACACUCUUUCCCUGAAAAAACUAAAAAUUAAUUCCUGGUAAAAAUUCCAAAAUAAACCGGAAGGACGACAAGACCCUAUAAAAUUUCACUUGAAAGCCUGCUUCCUUAGGUAAACCCAAUCAAGUUUUGCUGGGAUGGCAAUUACAUAAAACCUGAUAUUAUUCUCACACCGAAAAGUGCAUUAAAUGACCCUCUAAAAGCCCCAUAAACAAAUUACUUUAGGGAUAACAGCGUAAUUUUUUUCAAAGUCCUCAUUAAAAAAGAAGAUUACGACCUCGAUGUUGAAUUAAGGGGAUCCUCAGGCGCAAAAGCUUGAACGGGGGAUCUGUUCGAUCCAUAAACCCUCACAUGAUCUGA